CCUACGGGUGGCAGCAGUAGGGAAUAUUGCUCAAUGGGGGAAACCCUGAAGCAGCAACGCCGCGUGGAGGAUGAAGGUUUUAGGAUUGUAAACUCCUUUUGUUAGAGGAUAUUAUGACGGUAUCUAACGAAUAAGCACCGGCUAACUCCGUGCCAGCAGCCGCGGUAAUACGGAGGGUGCAAGCGUUACCCGGAAUCACUGGGUGUAAAGAGUGCGUAGGCGGGUUAAUAAGUCAGUUGUGAAAUCCUGUAGCUUAACUACAGAACUGCAAUUGAUACUGUUACUCUGGAGUGUGGGAGAGGUAGGUGGAAUUCGUGGUGUAGGGGUAAAAUGCGUAGAGAUCAAGAGGAACACUGAUUGCGAAGGCGACCUGCUGGAACACUACUGACGCUGAUGCACGAAAGCGUGGGGAGCAAACAGGAUUAGAUACCCUAGUAGUC
Molecule: ribosomal RNA, 440 nt
Filed under: uncultured bacterium
Lineage: Bacteria
Description: partial 16S ribosomal RNA
Rfam family: Bacterial small subunit ribosomal RNA
Source: RNAcentral